RNAcentral lists this long non-coding RNA (1340 nucleotides) under Phascolarctos cinereus (koala). Its description in RNAcentral is "lncRNA (ENSPCIG00000033152.1)". Lineage: Eukaryota; Metazoa; Chordata; Mammalia; Diprotodontia; Phascolarctidae. The record is from RNAcentral.
AGCAAAUUAAGAAACGUGGAUUUCCAGAAGGACAAGUCAAACAAUGUUCUCUGCCCUAAGGUAUUCAGGGCUUUGUCAAUCAGAGCAGAGUUGUGGUUGUUCAGUUAUGUCUGACUCUUCCAUGGAUAGUAACUAUCCAUGGAGUUUUCUUGGCAAGGAUACUGGAGUGGUUUGCCAUUUCCUUGUCUUUUUCCAGUGAAUUAAGGCAAAGAGAAGUUAUGUGACUUGCCCAUGGUCAUAUAGCUAGUAAGUGUCUUAGGCUGGAUUUGAACUUGGGUCUUCCUAACUCCAGGACCAGCUUUCUAUCCACUGAGCCACCUACAGAGCGAGUAUUAAUAUGAAAUGGAAAGGAACCAGGAAGAUAAUCAUCAAGGACGUUUCAGAAAAGGUAUCUGUUCGUAAAUGCCGUCACCCAGUCCUGGAUCCCGCAGUGAGGUCAAUCAGUGUGACUGGAGCGCCAUCUGCAGGAUGUCCAUGGAAGAUGCAGGUGCUGAAUAACUACCGCAGCUGGCUGAGUCUCUCUCUACAUUUCCAGAUGUCUCUCUGGAAGUAGAGAAUGAGUCCAAAUGCAACUGUGCUGCCCAAUGGAGGAUCAUUCUCAAGUAUUUAGAGGAACAACGUCACCAUCUCCUUCUGUCUCCAGCCUCAAAGUUUGGAGUAGAAGUGUGUGUCACCCAACUUGGUCCCCCCCCAGAUUCCUUCCCUAGAUUCUCUCUCUGGUUCCUUACCCCCAAAUUCCCUCCUUUACAAGCACAAGCCUUCUUCCCCUUCAUCCUUCCUCUAGCCCUACCCCAAACCCUUGUUCUAUUUUUUAUUCCUCUGCUCAAAGACUUAGAGAUGUCAGGGACUUAGAAUCCAUUCACUGUGUCCAUUUCCCUUCCAGUCCCCCCCACCCCAGCUUUUGCUUCCUCCUUCCCACAACACACUCACCCGUUAGAGACAGAACGAUGGUUAUCCUGCCAUUGUGAGUGACAGUGGGAGACAGAUCCAGAGAAUCCAUGGCCACCCACUCUGCCACCUGGGCCAACGAUCUACAGUCUUCUGGCCUCGGGUUUCUGCUGCCUUGAACACCCAGCUAGUGUGGCGCAGGCUAAACUUCCACCACUGGAAGCAAGAGCUACAGUAACAAAAAGGGUUUUCACUUUGUGGUGGGAAAGAAGAGUAUCAAAUAAGGGACAGGACUCCUGCAGGUGGAUGAGACAAUGAUCAUGGACAGGUAACUGGAACUUUGGAGCAUGCCCAGAUCAUCUAAUAUGCAGGUACUCUGCUUCUGGGAGAAAGCAUCCUGUGUGCCUUACCACAUGGCAGUAGCAUCCUUCACUUGGAUGUAUAAACAUGAU